UACGUAGGGGGCAAGCGUUGUCCGGAUUUAUUGGGCGUAAAGAGCGUGUAGGCGGUUAUACAGGUCCGCUGUGAAAACUGGAGGCUUAACCUCCAGACGUCGGUGGAAACCGUAUGACUAGAGUCCGGAAGAGGAGAGUGGAAUUCCUGGUGUAGCGGUGAAAUGCGCAGAUAUCAGGAAGAACACCCGGGGCGAAGGCGGCUCUCUGGGACGGUACUGACGCUGAGACGCGAAAGCGUGGGGAGCGAACAGG
Molecule: ribosomal RNA, 253 nt
Filed under: uncultured bacterium
Lineage: Bacteria
Description: partial 16S ribosomal RNA
Rfam family: Bacterial small subunit ribosomal RNA
Source: RNAcentral